UCUCCUUUCACGUCUCUCUCUCUCCCUCACAUCUCUCCGCGCCACCGCCGACGUGAGGAGCGCCAUCUCCAUCCCGCCUUUUUCCUCCUUCGUCCUCCCUUUCUGCAGCGCAAGCCACGACCUCUCCUGUGCGCCUCUGUUUUCCUCCCCGUCGGGACCAGGCAGAGGAGGAGCAGUGCGAGCCACGGAGAUGACGAGGUGGUCGAGUUGCCUGUGGCGCCAUCGCCGUACCUCACGGCCCAGCUGGAGGUGUGUCGGCCGCAGAGACAACAGAGGUCUCAUUCGCUCGCUCUCUCACCGCCAUAGGAGGAGUGUGCGCAGGGGGAGUGGCGGGUCAAGAUCCGAAGACGGCGGGGCGGCGACCAGUCCCGUGAGGCCCGGCGGCGAGCAGAGCUCCUUUUGCUGAGCGCCGAGGGGUCGAAGGGUGCUCCGGAUCCGGAUCCGGGCGAGGUGGCGGCCAUGGACGAGCUCGAGCCCGGGCGUGUGCCUCCUGCUCCCCAUGGUCUCGCUACCGCUCCUCCCCCUUGGGCUCUGUUCGUGGAGAGCAGCGGCCGAUGUGGACAAGGAGGUACACAGCGAGCCGCCGAUGAUGGGCACGCCGGGAUGAGCUCUCUGGCAGAAACACGCACCACACCCGUCCACCUCUCCACCACCAUGCGCCAGAGGGAGAGGGAGAGCCUAGGCCCCGAGCGUGGGUUCUGAUUUUGGGUCAAGUUUGCUUGAAGGUUAGUGCGACAAGCACGUAUCCAGAAGUUUCUCUGCAGAUAAGACGCUUAGCAAUGGCUGUGGGAAUAGCUCAAUUGGCUAAUCCAUGUAUACUCUUUGUUUAUCAUCAAGUUUAGUACUUCUAUGGAGUCGAACGUUCUCUGUGAUUUGAAAGAAAUUGAUGUCUCAAGAUCAAUUAGCAUGGCCUUGGAGUAAAUCGGCUGGUAUGCAAGUAUGACAAGUGGAUGACACUUUCAACAUUUUCUUCUCCCGUCCACAUGUGCUUGUUGGUCCAGUUCUAAAAAUUUGCUGCAAGGUUUCUAUAAUACAGAUUAAAGAAGAAUCAGAUACUGGAACUUCUGAGAACCCCUUUCCAACCCAUGUUUGCAAAUAAAAAGCUUGCGGCUUGGGAGCAUCUCAGAAUUUUUAUCUCGACCUUGCAGUAACUGAGUCUCUAUCGGCACAAAAUGCAAUUGAAUAUCUCAAAGUAAUGGAGCAUUUGAUCAGAGAGCCUGCUGUUUACUGGGAGUUGGUAAACUAUAUUACUAAUCUCAGACACUGAUUAAUUAACUAUAUUACUAAUCAAAGAGCCUGCUGUUUACUGGGAGCUGGUAAUACUACUGGCUUACUCUUUGGAACCUUCGGUUGAUCUAUACAUGUGUAGCUAGCUGCUUUUCUCCAUGGCGCAUUUCGUGUAGAUACGUAGAGAUGUUGAUUAGUAAAUGCAUGCAAACUGAAUUCUGUAUUAGUUUCCCAGCCAGUAGCAUCAUUGAAACGGCGGUUCUUCUCCAUGCGAGUUAAACGGAUUGCUUGGGUGAGAUUUUGUUAGGAUAAUCUCAGAGGUUGCGAGCAAUCAGUAGAGUUACUCAUAGUACUAAUACAUGUGCAAGUUUUCUUUAAUUAAUUUUGGUGCUUCUCCUGAUUGAAGAUGGUCGUGACCAAUUUUAGAACUUUAAAACCCCAUUAAACAUUGUUGGUAUGAAUUGGGCUUGGAAAAUACUCGAUCGAGCAGCUCCUUUGUUCUACAUUUUGGUUCAGCCUAAAUACUCGAUCGAGCAGCUCCUUUGUUCUACAUUUUGGUUCAGCCUAAAUACUCGAUCGAGCAGCUCCUUUGUUCUACAUUUUGGUUCAGCCUUACACACUUCACCGGGUAUAUGAAUUUAUUUAGAUGUAUGUAGAUACUUAGGCGUACAUGGAUCUACAUAGGCACACACGAGGUAACACGCGGAUCUGCUUUGCUUCACAUGUUAUCGUCCCCGUGCCUAGGGUUUCCGAUUGAUGUGCUAUUACCGCACGUGUGACGAUGGUCGUUUGUGGUGAGGCAGGAGGGCAACAGCGUCGACAUGGCAAUCGAGUCACUCCUGAAUGCGGAGAAGCAGUGUUGCCUGGCUGGCGAUGUGGCCAGCACUAGGAAGGACAUCGUCGAGCUCUCCUUCAAGGAUGGCGCCUGGAAGACGCUUAACUGCCAGAUCGUUGUCCUCUCUAAGAGGAGGAGGGCCAGCUCAAGUAGAGAAUGGCGUCACCGGGGAGGACGGCAGCGGCGUGCCCGUGUUCGCGGAGUACAACCUCGACGAGCUCCGCGCCUCCACCGACGGCUUCGCAACGGACCACAUCGUCUUCGAGCACUGCGAGAAGGAGCCUAACACCAUCUACCACGGGCCCUCUUCAGCUCUGGCACCACCGUCGCCAUCAAGCUCUUCUACCGCUCCGCCUGGCCUGACACACGCCAAUUCAUGGAGGAGGCUAGGGCAGUUGGGCUGCUGCAGAGCGUUCGCUUGUCCAACCUCAUCGGAUGAUGCUACAAGGGUGGCGAGCGGCUGCUCGUUGCUGAGUUCAUGACGCAUGAUACCUUGGCAGCUGUGAUUCAUAGUGUGGUUAGGGUUUGUUAAGUUUACUAGCUCCUUCAUUGAUGAUGGGUCGCUGGUGGUGCUUUUCUGCCGAGAAUUAAAAAAAAAACUUAUUCCAUGUUUCAUGCGGUUUAUGCAUCUCUUUCCUAUUUCUUUGUUUCAGAUAAUGGUCAUGUUUACACUCGAGUGUGUGAUUUGUGGACGGCGGGUGCAGUCUAUCUGAAUAUGCAAUUCAUGCUUUGAUCAUGAGUAUAGUACAUUCAAAAUUAACAAAAGCAAUAAUGCAUAGCAGCAGUGUCAAUCUUGUAGGCUAUGAAACUGCAUGUUUGUUGUUGCGGUAUGGAAAUUUACCAUGCUGCGGCAAUGGGGGUAAACUCUUACGGUGAGGUUUUUUUGUGUACCUAAAGUCCCGAGAGAAAGGUAGGGUACCUGAGGUGAGUCUUAUGCCCUUCCAUGUUUUCAUUUUUUGUGCGUCUUGAAUUUUGUAUUUAAUCAAUGUGAAUUGUUCCAUAGCAAUUGCCCUGUUUUGAUUACUGUGAUCGUUAUUUACUGCUUUUGAUGGUCACUACAAAUCUCGCCCUAUUUAGGCAGGUGCAUCACUUGGUUUGAUACAUUUUACAUCGAGGCUAUGCUGCAUAUGCACUUUUGCUCUAAAUCGACUUGGUUUAGUCGAUGACUUGAUGUAUCAACAGAUGUGUUGGGCUCUUUGUUAGCCAUGUUUUGCUCAACUUUUUUGAAGGAAAUUGCCGCAUCGAAACCAAAAUUUCCUUUUGUUGAAGGCACCGUAAGGUUGUAUUACUUUGAUCACAUUUAGUUUGUACAAAGCUUUUCUUUUGAUGGCUUGAAACAUGUCACUAAAGGCAGUUGAAUGAAGACACUUAUUAGUAUGCUUAGUAGCUAUGACUCGGUAGUUGUCUCUCCUAUCCGGCGCUUAUUACCCCCUCUCCUAUUAUAGCGUUUUUGGUACCGAAGUUCAUGCCGAGUGGCUGUGCUUUUGGUUUCAAACUUCCUGUCGAGUGGCUAUGUUUUGUGAUCUUAUGAACACACUAAAAUUGAUCAUGCCUUAUAGUGUGACGCCGAUAAUGAGUAUCACUAUGUAUCGCUUCCAUCACAAUUGAAUGUUUCUUCUUCAUUGUAUUGUUAUCAUGUAUGAAUGUAUAUGCUAUACCUGGAUUACUACUGACUUCACAUUAUCCGCUUAAUCAAAACGUUGUGACCGGCACCCUCGCGCCAAGGCGCGAUCCCAAUCCAGUUCAUAACACCGGCGGCC
Molecule: RNA transcript, 3822 nt
Organism: Triticum aestivum (bread wheat)
Lineage: Eukaryota; Viridiplantae; Streptophyta; Magnoliopsida; Poales; Poaceae
Gene name: probable serine/threonine-protein kinase BSK3
Exons: 7
Source: RefSeq, a predicted model, not a curated record